Molecule: long non-coding RNA, 2064 nt
Filed under: Capsicum annuum
Lineage: Eukaryota; Viridiplantae; Streptophyta; Magnoliopsida; Solanales; Solanaceae
Description: long non-coding RNA (CANN_LNC009938)
Source: RNAcentral
UCCCCUCUUAUUUGAUACGUAUAAGAGUCUUCAAACGAUGGUACAACAACAGUAUCAUCUACCAGCAAACAACUUCAACACAUAGCAACAACAUACAAAUAACGACAAUAACUCCCAAACCUAUUUCUUGUUGCUAACAUCACGUUCAACGAAUGCUAACAUCACGUUCAACGAACAACAACAACAACAGCGAAGAACCCAGCAAAUCGACAAACAAUAACUCUCAACCCGUCAAUGACCCAUCAAAAUGGGUCCAACUUUGGCGACCCAUCCAAUAAUCAGAAAUCGGCCACUCGACCCAUGUCUGGCAGCAGCUUCAACGAAACUUCCAGAAAUGGGAUAGCUUAGCCAAUCAUUGAGCGUACGGAUGGUAUGAUUCUGUAAUGAAUCCAACGUAUCUCUUAUCCCAUUUUUGAAAUUCAAAAGUUUCCUAUGAGAAUCCCAAAAUUUCCCACAUUUUCUUUGUUUCCACAUCAAUUGAGCCUCAAAAAGAUGGAUUCCGUGGUUCUGUUAUAAAAUGCUCUUGGUUGAGCUAAAAAGGGGAUCAAAAAAAGUUGAAAAAGAGGGGAAAAAAUCCUCAAAGCUAAGAGUUUCCUUUCUCAGUAAAAAUUCUUUUUUCGUUCUUUUUUUUGAAAGUUGAUCGAUUAAUCAGAGGUUCUCGAGUUGAUAACACUGAUUUUUUUAUAGUGGUAGAUCCCGACGUCAGCUCAUUGUUCUAUUUUUCUCUCGAAAGCAAGGAUGAAGGAUGGAGUAGAGCAUUACUAUGGUCUACCUAUAUCUUUCGAGAGCCUAUUGGCCAAGGUCCUUCUUUGGAAUGUUUGGGAUUCUUAAAUGCAUUUCUGCCCUUGUUUUAUCGGGUUUGAUUAUCAUAUAGUGGUUGCCUUAAGUACUAAGGCCCUUGCUAUCAUAACUACUUGACUUGGUGUCCAUUGCAUUUCGAGUCCAAGAAAGGAAACUUUAGGUGUUCAUCAGUAUUUACUUAUUGAUUCUUGAAGUUUUGGCUGAGCAUUAGUAGUUCCUACUGGUGUCUUCUUGAAUGCAUUUUUUGAUAUAGAGGAUUCUUUCUCAAAGGGUUGCCUUUUAAGUUUCUGAUAAUGUCCCUUUAGGCCUGCCAAAUAUCUUCUUAAAAUCCCGGUCUAGAAAUAGAUUAAUUUUCUGGUUUCCUUUAUUGCUUUGGUAUCGGCCAAUUUUUGUGUUAAUGUUAUUCCCUUACGAGCAUAUCUCUUUGUUUGUUAAUCGACUUUUAUUUAUUGAAGAUCCAUGUUAUGUCGUUCUCUUUGGUCUAUUACGUAUAAGUUUUCCCUCUAUAUUCUUUUUUUAUUUGGUUGACUGCCUAAUGAUUAGUUUAAUUGUCAUAUCUUGAUUAUGCCUGUUGUUCGAGUUAACUUGUGUGUCUUACUACUUCCGGAUGUCCUUUGACUAUUUGUUUGGAUCCUUGUUGCUUUGCUUAUGUAGUUAAUAUGUAUAAAUUUUCUUCACAUUUGCUUGCCUCCUCCAGUUGAUCAUGUAUUAGCCAUUCUAGUUUCCUACUUCGGUUGAGCAUGCAUCGAUUUCCUUUACUCCAUCUUUUUCCCUACCUUUGCUGAAUAUAUAUUAAUGUGUUUUAUUUUCUUUCUUUGCAUAGAAAUCAUUUGAGUCCUACAUGGACUCGUCCUUUUUUUGCAUAUCUAUCAUAGCCAAUGAGGCCUAUUUUUUGAGUCAAGCCCAAAGGAGGUUUAAAGUCAAAUUACAUAUGGAUGCAAGGAGAUGAAAGAAGAAGAAGGGAUUAAGUCCUAUCUUUGAAGCGGCUGAACAGUCUCAUUUUUUCAUUUUUUUAUUUAUUUAUCUAUUGUCGUCUUUAUUUAUUUAUUUUAUUUAUUUAUCCAUUCAUUUGGGCCUCGAAGCCAAAGUUGUAUUAUAAUACAGAUGAUGCGACACUCGAGCAAAAAGUUUCGAAAAAUGGCUUAGGAAAGGUUAUGGACCGAAAGCCAAACACUUAGAUUAGGACAGGUGCAAAAAUGGGUCGGAAGCCCAAUUAGAUUUGGAUAGGUUUUGUUGAUUUGAGCCCAAUGGCCUAAGUCUUUU